This is a long non-coding RNA of Numida meleagris (helmeted guineafowl), 10631 nucleotides long. RefSeq lists it as uncharacterized. The transcript has 2 exons. Lineage: Eukaryota; Metazoa; Chordata; Aves; Galliformes; Numididae. The record is from RefSeq and is a predicted model, not a curated record.
GGGCCUCGGGGCGGUCCCCAGGGCAGCGGGGCCCCCGGGACGGCGGGCCUCCUCCCGUCCAUCCCUUCGCGGGAGACGGAGCCCGGCGGAGAGCUGCGGCUGUGCGUCCCCGGGCCGUGCAUCGCAGCUUAGGGAGCAGCGGCCGCGGAUGCAGCGGUUUUCCAUUCGCUGCCAAACGGGGUAUGCGGGCUCUGCAGGGCAUCGCCGCGGGGAGGGGAGGGGAAGGGAGCGCGAGGUGCUGCAGUUUGGAGGAGACGGCUGCUGCUGCGGGGUUUAACGAGGGGUAGUCUCAGGGCCGUGUUAUUAGAAGAGCGUUAAAGUAUUGCGGCGCUGUUGUCUUGCAGCCCCCUGGUUUCUGGCAGCACGCUGGUGCAUCCGUAUCUCAGUGGGUUUUUCUGCUGGUCGAAUGAAAUAAGGGAACAUGUGGGCCACAUCCCAGUGAAGCGAGGGAUGUUCUGUUUCCAGAGCUCUUUUCAUCCCAUCUUUCACUCCUAGUCAGUGGAAUUCCAUGAGAAAAUGUCGUCUUUGAAGACUGCUGCUUCAGACCCUCAUUAGGCAGCUCAGUGCAUCUGUACUCAUCUGUGCUGUGGUUUUUAUUUCUGGUGAUUCUCCAGCUGCGUUUUCUGGAACCACGGCGCUCUUCUCUGAUAGAGGGAUUGUUUGGUGAUGCAAGGAGGUAUCUCCGUGGCACAAUUCUGAGUAGAUAGCAGAAAGCUUACUAACAGUAAUGACAUAGUCCUGUUACCUUUUAGGUCUGCUCAGGACCAAUCUAAAUGAUGCCCAUUAGUCAGACUCUGAGUUAGUGCACAGCAGAAUUGACCCAUCGCUGUUGUAUUUGUGGGGUUAGAGUCAUUAUAAAUAAGCCUUGCAAUCUGUGGGAAACACAUGAAACUUCUUUCAUAUUUCUGACUCCUGCUCUAUGCUGGGAUGAGGAGCAGAAAGGGGAAGGCUGUUGGAUAACUCCAUUCUGUAAGCAGGGCAUACUCUGCAAUCCUAAGCUUGGCAGGCAGGUAUGCUGUGUGUUUAUAUUGUAGCAGUUCAGCAAGCUCUUUGUGAUACCAUUAAGGCAUUUUGGUGCAUAAUGUAACUUAGUCUGGAACUGUGCCUUCUAUAAGCAUAAUUUCUUUGAAUUUAAAAUAAAGGAUAGCAAGAAUUGUUCAUUGUAGGCUGUGGCAAGACGAGCUUUGGACACAGUUACGAUUUUGAGAAUGAUCACUGGAUCAUUUGUGUUGCUUAAACUCAAGUACUAAUUUCUAAAAUGUCCUUAAUUUGUUCUGCAGGACGGAUAGAUGUUUUAGAUUUUUUUUAAUUCAGUGUUUUCUCUCCAACUUCUUAUGAACUUGAAAAAUUAAACCCUCUCAUCAACAGUGAUUUUCUUGUACUACCCUAAGCUAUAUUGCAUGUACAUCAAAGUGUUAGCAGGGCAGCUGGUACAAACAUCCUAGCACCACUGAAUGCAACGUAUGCUAAGUGAAGAUCUGUUGUUUCCCCCAGAAAAUGCUUGUUGUUUGUCAGGGAACUGUCAUUCAUUUUUUUUUUUAUUUUGUCUUGAAUAGCUUCUUGAUCCAGUGUACCAAGGUUGGCUGUUACUUUGCAUCAAGACUGAUCUAGAAGCACUCUCCAGCAGUGCAUUCACUGCUUGAAUUUAGCUAUUUCAUCUUACCCUGGGUCCGCACAAUACUUUUCUUGCUUUUCUAAGAAAAGCCCUGCUUGAGGAGGAUGCAGUGUUUGAGGAAGACACACAUACACAAGGAAUACCUUUUUGCAAGAGUUUGCCCUAUGAAGAUAGGAUAGGUGUCAAACCAACCACCUGAAAUGUUGUUUGGUCAUUCCAACGGAAACUCUUACAGUAGAAAGGGAUUGUUCUUAAAAGUGGUUGUAGCAACACAGCUGGGUGAUGCUCCAGUACUCUGUGGAUGAAUUGCAUACUACCGACCUUCUCUGUUAUGUUAAGCUUCAAGUAAGGGACUUGUCAGUUGCCACUGGCUGCAAAUAGCCAAGGUGAUUGGUAUGUUGCUCCUUUGCUUGGUGUGUGUUAGUCUCUCCCUUUUAGAGAGAUGGUAGCGGCAGUUUGGUGAUACUGUCAGAGUUAUUAAUGUCACAGAUAAGGUGAUGCAGGAGCAUCAGUCUCCAGAGGCUUAGAGCUGUGAGGAUGGUUAUUAAUAACAAAGAAGGGGGAGGGAAACAGCAUAAUGGGCUCUGCUUGUUUUUGUUGUGUUUGCAGUGGUGUCCACUACCCUAUUCAGAGGAUCUCUUUCAGACAUAAUGAAGAUUGAGAAGUGACCUAGCUUUCCACAUGUUUUUUUAUUUUUUCUUACAGUUUAGGAAUAUGUUUUGCCUAGUAAGGUAGAACUAUAGCUUGUGAAAGACAUUCCGUGUGCCUUUGUCUUCCUGAAUGUAAAUGUGCUGUAAUGUCACAGGCUUUAGAGUUCUAGAAGAUAAAUGCUUUUAAAGCAACCAGAGUUGGAUUGAUUAAGUUAUCUACUGCCAUACCAAAAAUGUAUGGUAUUGCCUUAACUGGGGAGGUUACUUUCAGAACUAGAAACUUCACAGUCUGUGAAUGAUUCUGAUUUAGUAAAUGCCUUUUGUUCAGCCACUUACAACUGUGGUAAGUGGUAUGUAGACCAAGCCCUCUACUGGUAGCUUUGUUCUGUUGUCCACUAAAUAAUGAAUGUGCUAGCUGGUUCCCUUGACAGACUGUAAGAUGUUGAUCUCAGAAGAAAAGCUUUACCCUGCUGCCCAAAUUAAACUGGGGAGGAAAAAAAUAAAAGCAUUCAUUUAAAAACAAAAAUGUGCCUGGCUACCUUCUACACAGAGGAAUUCACAUAUCUGUCCUCUGAAUUUGAAGACAGAAGUAAAUAAAACGUUGGUGAUAGUCUUGAUGCAGGAGUCAUUUAAAAUCACAGGGUUGAUUAUUUUUUCUAAUUUUUUAAUCAAGUUAGAUGGUGUGUUCUUUAAAAUGCUUUUUCUUUGAUUUUUGUUUUGUUGAAGGAAUAUUGCAGUUUCUCUUAUGAUUUGAAACAUCGGGCACAGUGAAAAAACUGCAUGUGGCAUUGCUUUUUUAACAAGGAAUGUAUACUUUUUUGAAUAUGGUGCAUGACUGCUGAACUUUUCUAGUUCUUGGUUUGUCUCUGGUAGUUAAGAUGCUUAGAAGACUAGAAGAUGAUUCUAGUCUAUCCAGUUAGCUGAUGAUGUAAUGUGAGGUUUGAAAGCUGCCUUCUCCUCACUGUCUCUUUGGAAGGCUGGCUCUUGCAGGUAGGACUCUUCUUGCAGCACCUUGGCUGUCGUCAAUCAUUAGGUCUCAGAGUUCUUGAGUUACUGUGAUUUUAAUUCAAAUCACUUCUUAUCUUUCUUGCUCUUUAUAUUUGUAAGCAGUACUUGUAUUUCUUUCUGAACUUGUGUCCUACUAAAAUAAAACACGAGAAGUUCUUUUAAGCUUGGUCACUGUACUUUUAGACAUCCUAGAAGCCUUUUAUUUGUAACUGUUCUUGUUCACACAUUUUGAAAAAUGAUGAGCUCAGCGUACAUGAACUUGGAUGAGGCUUUACUGACUGUGUGCAAAAUGAUGUUUAAUGCUUUUUUAAAAAUCUAUGUGGAAAAUUCUCACUUACCGUGGUAACACACAAUUAUUUUUUUUGCCUUGAUGGUGAUAACUAAUAAACUGCUGCCAAAAAUAGCAAUGUUUUGUGUUAGUCCUCCAAGGUUAGUUUUUUAAGGAAAAUUUGUAUUUUGCAUAAUUAUGUUGCAUGAAUCUUCUUAUCUGAUCUUUGUGAUGUCUUCAGUCUGGAACACCUAUCAAGUAAUGAAACCUUUGAACAGUCUUCAGCAAACUGCUAAUAUUGUUCUUACUACUUCAUUUUUGUUUUGUUCCAGAGAAGCUGGAAAUAACAGAGCUGUUAACAGGUUGUGGUUUGAAAAUGCAAGUAUGGGCUGCUGCUGAAAGCAUACAAAUCCUGCUUUGUCUUGUGGUUAUGUAUUUAUACAACUUUAAGCUGAAUCUGGAAACUGUUGUGGUUUAUACAAAAUAAACAACCCUCUCCCAAAAUUGGAGAUCUUUUACUCUGUCAGGUGGAUCAACUCCCUGAUAGUCCACAGCAGUGAUCAGCAAACUUUUUUGAUUCUGCAGCUAUCAGUAAAAUAAUUUUGAGCGCAUACCCACAGUAUGUGUUCAUUUAUAAAUUACAUUAUGUACAUUAUAUUAAUAGAGUAGUACAUUAUAAAAUAUAAACAAAUAGGAUGUAAAAAGGUGAGAUGAAGAUGAGCACCACUUCAAAAUUUUUUAAAAUUCUAUUUAUUUAUAUUACAGAAAAAUACUUUCUUCCACAUCCCAGUGGAUUGUUCUGCAUGUCUCUUGGGUUUUGUGCACCUUUCCCUGAAGACUACUGCAAUACUCUGAGCUUUGUGAGCACUAAUGUCAGAAAAGAAGGCACAGUAAUUUUCCAGUGGAGUACAAGGAAGGGAGGAGGUAGUGCUUGUUCAGAAAAAACUUGACUUUAAUAAGCUGAUCUUUGCUCUCAUGUCGUCUGUGUCAGUAAGAUGUUCAAGACCAAAACAUGAAAAAUAGUACUGAUUUCUCUCUGGAUAGCUUUUCUUUCAGCAUAGGCUACGUCAGAACAGGUUAAAAAUGAAAAUGCUGCAGAGUGAUUAUUAAUCUUCAAAUUAACUUUCUCCCCCUUUGGUACUGUAUUUGAUCAUACCUCAUUUGAUUUUUCAUUCCUAAAGAGUAUUCUUGCAGAGAAGGAUGUUGGCAAGAUCACUAUCUUGGAGUAAUUCAAAACAGUGUACUACAUCUUCAGAUGCAUCCUUCAGAUUUUCUCCUGAAGCCCUGUAUAAUAUUCAAAUGAUGUGAGCAACCACAAACCCAUUCCUCUUGCUCCUCUUUUUGACAUAGUUAGCAGUAAUUGCAAUAUGUUCAUUUGCUAACUAUUUUAACUCCACCAAGAUACUUUUCAAAUUGUUUGCCUUUCACUAUUGUGGAAGUUAUCCAGUUCUUACGGCUUGAGCACGUGGAACAUCUCUGAUUUAUUUCUCCACUUCAGCAUGUUGAUUAUUCCUGAUAAACUUAAUGUUGUGGAUUUUUUUUCUCUCUAGAAAAAAAGCCAUUUUCUCUGGAUGCUAAAUUUAACUCACAGAUGUGGUGAGUAAAAAUAAAAUAAAAAUGUUCCUAUCCAACCACUUUAACAAGGAAGGUCACCUAAUGUCUUCAUUUCCCAAGUUGACUUCCUCAGAUGAACUGCUUCUAUUUCAGAUUAGUAAAAUUUUUGAAUUAAAAGGAAAUAGCAGCAUCUGUUGCAGCUGUGAAGGAGCACUCAGUGCUAGGUUAAUGUUUCAACUUGCUCGAAGGAGUUUCUGUGGUAGAGAGACUCCUAAGGCUAUCCUGUGUAAUCGUUCUCUUAAACUGGAAGUGUUUUGACAGCUUUGACUUGAAUGUAACCCUGUACAAGUGCUGUGCUUCAUGAUCAUACUAGCUCUGCUCUGUGAUGGCUUAAGGUACUGUGCAGUAAGCUCCAUCUGUCAAUUCAUGGUAUGACAUUAAAAAUUUAACCAGUCCUUAAUUGAUUUUUCAGUUACUUCACUGGAGUGUUUAGUCUAUUAUAAGAAAAUGGGUUAAAUGUAAGUUCAUUACCUGGAAAUAGACUUAUAAUUAGAAACUGAAGAAUGUUUUUAAUGUUGCGGCUGCAUACUGUGCUACGUUUACUCCUUACUCCCUACCUCUUGAGUGGAAAUUGCAUCGUGUUCUGUUUGUCAGAAAUAGAUGACAAUUGAGAAGCAAUUUCUUGAGCAAGAAUUCUAAAAAUCAACCUUUUAGAGGUAUGGAGGGUAGAAGAUGACUUGGGAAUUUGCUGUAUUGAAAACAAGUUCUUGAGUGAGACUGAAAUAGGAAUUCUCUUGUAUUUAUGGACAGAACAUUGUGUUAUUUGGACUGUACUUUAAUACGCAAAUGGCUAUGUCAGUGGCUUCCUAAUAGGAUUUGAUUUGACUGUUAUGUAAUUUAAUGUUGCAUCUCCUCAUUCUGGAGAAAAAGUUGUGUAAAAAAAAAAAAAAAAAAUCUGAAAAAGACCUUUAAUUGUUACAUGUAUUAGGCUUAUGUUUUUCAGAUAAUCAAGUGAAAACGACUUUUGUUCAGAAAUUUGAUUUGUUUUCCUGAGGAAUGAUUUUUCUUUUUGUAUCAAAGAAAUACAACAGUCAGUGCGUGACUUUGAUAGUCAUUCAUUGUACAGUGAUUCUUUUGAAAAAAGGAUCAAAAUUCAGUGGUGCAGCAAGGAAACUAGUAUGAUUCUGGAGAUGACAGGAAAGGAGUUCCAGCUUCCAACUGUAAGGGUCUUCACCAGAAGGUCCUAAUGCUCUGCUAUUAAAACUCGUAAAAACUUCAAGGGUAAGAUUUGAUCUAAAUCAAAGAAGAUUUGGUCAUAUUUAUACAGAAACAAACUUUUACUCUGUGAUCCAUGAAAACCAGGUCUUGAUUGGUGAGUUAGGCUACAAGUCUUUCUUCCUCUUAUAGCUGAGCUGGAUGGAUUAGUUACCGCAGCAUUUGUGCAGGAAGCUGUGUUUUGUAACUAGACAUUAAUGAUAAGAUUCCUGUUAACUAGAAGUGGAGACACUUUUUAAAUCUUCCUUUGCCAGAAAGUUAUAUUUUUCUUAAUUCCUGAGUCAGUUAUUCCUUGAGAGGAAGGGCUGACUUCGUCUGCAGUAUUUCUGCGAGUGCAGGAUGUGAGCACUGUAGAUUCACCAUGGGGUAGAGGUCAUCUUUUGUUUCUUUCAUAUUGGUAAUUAUGAGCUCACUUGGAGUAUUCGUGUUGUCUUGUCCUUAUGGAGGGAUGUAUGUAUCUAUGUAUGAACGUCUACAAAGUAAUUCAUUUUGAUGCUUUUGCAAAAUGUUCUUUGUCUCUAUUGUUUCUAGCAUGGAGAAAGUACUAUUUGUAUUUCAGAUAGGUGCACCAGAGUCUUGUCCCUUGCAGAUUUCAACAAAACUGCUGCCGUGUCAUGUGUAAGAGUUGCUUGGAAGGAUUCUGUCCUAUUCAUUCCAUCUCACUGGCUGCAGGCUUUCAAAUCUCAGCCUUUCCUUUGAUAUUAGACUUUAGUGCUUACUCACUGUCAGUGUGACCAUUCCUCUUCAGUUAUUGAAGUUCCUAAUGGAGUCCAAAGAUUUAAAUCUUAACUUCUUAUGCUGACAUUAUGACCGUUAGAUUAAAUACUGUUGAUGCUACUGUUGUUUCCAGAUGCACUGAUGAGCACUCUCUAGUUUGAGAAAGACUUUGUUUUGAUCUGAUAUUUAGGAAAUAAAUGUGACCUUUUUUUUUAUUUUCGAGCUAAGACCUCAAAACUUCUAGUAAUGCAGUAGAGGGAGAAGGUAAAGGAAGGAAUGGAAUCAACUUUAGAAUAUGAUACAGUGUUCUAAUGUUCUAAUGUCAAACAUUGAUCUGACAUUCCAGAUUUGUCUGUAGAAUAUUUCUGUCUUUUGCCUCUGUCCUGAAUUUUUCAUUUGGUAAGAGCUUUGUUUUAAAUCAUGAGUGUCCAGCCUUUUGAUUUGCCUGGACUGCACUGAGUGAAGAGGAAUUAUCUUGGGCUGCAUAUAAAAUAUAUAAUAUAGGCAACGUGCAUAAGUAGAGAAACUUUAUUUGAAACAUUUAUUCUAAUGCUUUGAAACAUACAGAUAAGAAUAGAAGAGUGUUUCAGACUUUAUCAUAAAAUAUUUAACUUACUAUGUUACUUUCUUGUAAAAAAAAAAAAAAAAAAAAAAAGUGGCUAUUAAAUACAGAACUCCUGAAGUUAAGGCUCUGCUCUUUGCCAGGCCCGUGUUACUUGAUCAUAAACUGAACCAGGGCAUAGUUGCUGCAGCCCAGACUGCCUCAGGGUCUUAACUUCUUGAAUGAAUUCCUCUGCAUUGGUGAGCACCAGGUCUAGUAACGUGUCACCUCUGGUUGGUCUGUUUAGUACCUGGAUCUGGAAGUUGUCCUUACAGUACUCCAGAGGUCUCCUGGAUUGCUUGCAGCCACAGUGUUUUGGUUUUUUGUUUUGUUUUCAGCAGAUAUCUAGGUGGUUGAAAUCCUCCAUCAGGAUGAGAGCAUCCAUGUAAGGUUGAAGUGGUAGUGUGGUUAAUAAGAUUCCUAUUGUCCUUUAGUUAGUAUACCACCUUGUGAGUACUGUGAUUUACUCCUAAGUUGAAAUCAGUUGUUGGAACAAAUUUCUUGAUUAGCAGUCUUGCUUGCAAGGUUAAUAAUCCCAACUGCUGGUGAGAUCUGGAUGGAAAAAUAGAUGAUUCUCUAUCCCUUUGAAAAAACCUGAAGUAAGAAUGGCUCUUAAAAUCAGAAAAUAAAGAUAUGAAUAACUAUGCUCAAAUAUUGUUCAAUGUUUGUGUAAAAAGCAGUACUGAGUUGCAAGACGGUGAAAUACAAGCUGAUAGCAGAGAUGUGGAGCUGGCUAAAUCUUCAGCUGACACGUUAAUUGUAACUGUAAAUUUUUCCUGUGUUUAAAAUUGUUCCACUGUAAUCAAAGUACUACAGGCUAAUUUCAGCUUAAGAUAACAAUAAAAUACUCUGCUUGUUGCAAUCUCUUUAAAAAUCUUUGGAAGUGGAUGCCAAAAGUAUUUGCUGCUAUAUUUUAAAUAUAUAAUUGUGGAGAUGGUAAUGUAGCCAAAGCACUUAAGCUUUUUGGUCUCUUGGCUGCAAACUUGAAAACAUCUUCCUUUAAUUGAGAUUAGUAUCCAGUGGUUGAAUCUGUUACUGUUUGAUUCAGUGAAUCUUUAAGAACAGAUCAUGUUUCUUCUGGUUAAUUAAUCUGUUGUUGUAAACCGUUGACAGGUAGGUAACUUUUGGGUGCCAUUUAAUACAUUAGCAGGCCUUUUUUCUAGGUUACAGCUGUAAAGAUAAGCGGUAAGAAGCACUGCUUCAGCCAGGCCUGAAUAUUGAUAUAUACUGAAUAGUUCUGCUUUCUUAAUAGGAGGGAGGAUUUGGUAAACUCAUUUUGGCUUAAGUGAAAACAGUGUCUAACAAAACUUUAGGAUUCAUGCUUCUGGAACAGGUCAGUAGAAAGCAUAGAUAACAAUAGACUCUCCAUGCAAGUACUAACUGUACCUUAAGUGUGUGAUAUUAGAGCAAAAUAUUUUUGAAUAAUUACGUACAAUACUUCUUUCCAUCAAACUCUGUUUCCAUUAUAGAGAACACUUGAAACCUGUCAGAAAUGUAAAUAUGUUCUUCAAUUUUAGUAUUAAAAUUCCAUUCUGAUUUGUUGUUAGUCUCCAGUGCAAAGUUCAACUAUCAACUGUAUCUCAACCAUACUGUACAGUGGUAGGCUGAAGAACAGUUUGAAAAUUAAUGUUACCAGAUCAAGUCUAAGAUUAGAACUGUUAUUUUUUUCUCUCACAUACUUAAGCACUUAAAUACUAUGUAUUCACAGGCAAUCAAAUUUGAAACUACUCUUGAUUAAAAUGUUCAUGCAAAUUAAUCACAAGACUUUUUUUUUUCCCUGGACAGCAAUGUAUUUAACACAGCUCCAUAGAGAUUUACAAGUUUUGGAAAAGAAACUCAGCAAUCUGUUUCUUAGACCACAUUAAACCAUGGAGAUAAAACCAUUAAAACAUGAAAACAGUUUUUUGAAGCCCCUUAAGCACAAACUGUGUGCAUCCACGUUACACAAAUGUUAGCAUGCUGAUAACGAAGUGUUUUAAAGCUAGCCAGCUUAUUAUUUGCUGGUAUGGUAUCACACUUGCAUAUAUCUGCAGUUACAUUGACGCAGAAGUUGUCUCCGCAUCAGAGUUGUACAUUUGUGUCAGCACAAUUAUUCCAUGCAGCUAUUCUGUGUAUAAAAUGUAUUUAGUGAUUCUUAAAUUUUACAUUCACAUCAUCAGAAAUAUCACAAGUGAUGUGGGAAGAAGAAUCUAAAAGUUCAUUCCAGAAGGGAAAAUGGAUGGUCUGUUCCUUCAAGAAAGACUUUUAGAGAAAAAAGGGAAGCAUUUUGUAAUUCUGCUGAUUAUUUGAUAACUCUUCAGUCUCUCAUUUCUUUUCUUAUCUGUACUGUAGGAAAAGCAUGUCUGAAUUAGAAAACAGUAACAAAUGGUCAUUAUUUUUUUUCCCCCAUUGUUUUGAGCUUAGUCAACUCAAAAAAUUUUUGUGCUAUCUAUAAUGACAAGUUUUGAACUUGGUAGCCAUAAUAUUAAGUAUAUGCUGCUGUGGAGUUAAGCUGUUUAUGACUAUAAUCUCUACAUAUAAUUGACCUUUGAGACAACUGGCAUGCCGCAUCUGGAUCAGCGCACUGUACCAAUCACUGCCUUCCAUUGAAAGGAAUUUCUUAGAAGUGGUGGUGCCAUAGAGUUGAUCUUUUCUGAGAGGAGCUGAAAGCUGCAUUGAAGAACUGUAGAAGUUGUGUGAGGAAGAAUUCCAUUGUUAGUGAUUGCUGUAAACAUGUCUAAACACAAAAUCAGUAGCAGAUAAAAGCACAGUCACCUUGUCAAGGCUUUGGUGGUUGUUACUGAGAACAGAGACAUGAUGUUAAACCCAACUGUUCUGCUUGAGUUGAUGAGAAACCAUUCUUGGGUGGCUUGCCUAUUGUCCCAUCCUGAGAAAGUGUGUUAAAUGAUGAAAGUACUAUGCUUGGAAUGAGAGUAUGUAAAUAAAGGGCAGUCUUGAGUACAA